UGUUUCAGCAGCACAUACUGUCUACAGACAUUGGAAUGAUACAGAGAAGAUUAGCAUGCCCCCUGCACAAGGAUGACAUGAAAGUUCGUGAAGCGUCCAAUACUUUU
Small nuclear RNA from Mobula hypostoma (lesser devil ray), 107 nucleotides. NCBI's taxonomy places the organism in Eukaryota, Metazoa, Chordata, Chondrichthyes, Myliobatiformes, Myliobatidae. The record is from RefSeq and is a predicted model, not a curated record.